UNACGCGCUGGCACAUAGGACGAGGGUUGCGCUCGUUGCGGGACUUAACCCAACAUCUCACGACACGAGCUGACGACAACCAUGCACCACCUGUGCACCGACCUUGCGCACGGCAUAUGUCUGCGGGUUUUCCCUGCAUGUGAAACCCAGGGAAGGUUCUUCUCGUUGCGUCUAAUUAAACCACAUGCGCCGCCGCUUGUGCGGGGCCCCGUCAAUCCUUUGAGUUUAUA
Molecule: ribosomal RNA, 230 nt
Filed under: uncultured Actinomycetes bacterium
Lineage: Bacteria; Bacillati; Actinomycetota; Actinomycetes
Description: uncultured actinobacterium partial 16S ribosomal RNA
Source: RNAcentral